RNAcentral lists this ribosomal RNA (300 nucleotides) under uncultured Oleiphilaceae bacterium. RNAcentral describes it as "bacterial SSU rRNA". It matches the Rfam family "Bacterial small subunit ribosomal RNA", at positions 114 to 422 of the family's 1533-position model. Lineage: Bacteria; Pseudomonadati; Pseudomonadota; Gammaproteobacteria; Oceanospirillales; Oleiphilaceae. The record is from RNAcentral.
CGCGUAGGAACCUGCCCAGUAGUGGGGAGUAGCCGGUCGAAACCGGAAUUAAUACCGCAUACGCUCUACGGAGGAAAGGGGCGUUCGGCUCUCGCUAUUGGAUGGGCCGUGCGUGAGAUUAGCUAGUUGGUGAGGUAAUGGCUCACCAAGGCGACGAUCUCUAGCUGGUCUGAGAGGAUGAUCAGCCACACUGGGACUGAGACACGGCCCAGACUCCUACGGGAGGCAGCAGUGGGGAAUAUUGCACAAUGGGCGCAAGCCUGAUGCAGCCAUGCCGCGUGUGUGAAGAAGGCUUUCGGG